UCAUCAGAAGGAUAAUCCUUACCUGUUCCUCCUCUCAGAGGGCAGUUAGAAAAGGAUGACUGGGGCUUGCAUGGUCUGCUGAUUAGCAUUCCCGAGUAAUCAGGACCUGGCAACAUCCUGGGUGCUCCUAUCUGAU
This is a small nucleolar RNA of Apodemus sylvaticus (European woodmouse), 136 nucleotides long. RefSeq annotates it as U8 small nucleolar RNA. The transcript has a single exon. Lineage: Eukaryota; Metazoa; Chordata; Mammalia; Rodentia; Muridae. The record is from RefSeq and is a predicted model, not a curated record.